GACGAACGCUGGCGGCGUGCUUAACACAUGCAAGUCGAACGGAAAGGCCCGGCUUUUGUGGGGUGCUCGAGUGGCGAACGGGUGAGUAACACGUGAGUAACCUGCCCUUGACUUUGGGAUAACUUCAUGAAACUUGGGCUAAUACCGGAUAGGAGCUCCUGCUGCAUGGUGGGGGUUGGAAAGUUUCGGCGGUUGGGGAUGGACUCGCGGCGUAUCAGCUUGUUGGUGGGGUAGUGGCUUACCAAGGCUUUGACGGGUAGCAGGCCUGAGAGGGUGAGAGGACAAACCGGGCCUGAGAUACGGCACAGACUCCUACGGGAGGCAGGAGAGCGGAAUAGUGCAUAAUGGGCGGAAGGAUGAUGCAGCAAAGCCGCGUGCGGGAUGACGGCAUUCGGGUUGUAAACCGAUUUCGCCUGUGACGAAGCGUGAGUGACGGUAAUGGGUAAAGAAGCACCGGCUAACUCCGUG
This 468-nucleotide ribosomal RNA is filed under the name uncultured bacterium. RNAcentral describes it as "partial 16S ribosomal RNA". It matches the Rfam family "Bacterial small subunit ribosomal RNA", at positions 28 to 507 of the family's 1533-position model. The record is from RNAcentral.